GUUGGUACUUGUACCGACUGGAUGAGCAGCGAACGGGUGAGUAACGCGUGGGGAAUCUGCCUUUGAGCGGGGGACAACAUUUGGAAACGAAUGCUAAUACCGCAUAAAAACUUUAAACACAAGUUUUAAGUUUGAAAGAUGCAAUUGCAUCACUCAAAGAUGAUCCCGCGUUGUAUUAGCUAGUUGGUGAGGUAAAGGCUCACCAAGGCGAUGAUACAUAGCCGACCUGAGAGGGUGAUCGGCCACAUUGGGACUGAGACACGGCCCAAACUCCUACGGGAGGCAGCAGUAGGGAAUCUUCGGCAAUGGACGAAAGUCUGACCGAGCAACGCCGCGUGAGUGAAGAAGGUUUUCGGAUCGUAAAACUCUGUUGGUAGAGAAGAACGUUGGUGAGAGUGGAAAGCUCAUCAAGUGACGGUAACUACCCAGAAAGGGACGGCUAACUACGUGCCAGCAGCCGCGGUAAUACGUAGGUCCCGAGCGUUGUCCGGAUUUAUUGGGCGUAAAGCGAGCGCAGGUGGUUUAUUAAGUCUGGUGUAAAAGGCAGUGGCUCAACCAUUGUAUGCAUUGGAAACUGGUAGACUUGAGUGCAGGAGAGG
RNAcentral lists this ribosomal RNA (599 nucleotides) under Lactococcus lactis. RNAcentral's name for it is "bacterial SSU rRNA". It matches the Rfam family "Bacterial small subunit ribosomal RNA", at positions 72 to 657 of the family's 1533-position model. Lineage: Bacteria; Bacillati; Bacillota; Bacilli; Lactobacillales; Streptococcaceae. The record is from RNAcentral.